This 169-nucleotide ribosomal RNA is filed under the name Conocybe microrrhiza. RNAcentral describes it as "5.8S ribosomal RNA". It matches the Rfam family "5.8S ribosomal RNA". From Rfam's summary of the family: 5.8S ribosomal RNA (5.8S rRNA) is a component of the large subunit of the eukaryotic ribosome. It is transcribed by RNA polymerase I as part of the 45S precursor that also contains 18S and 28S rRNA. The record is from RNAcentral. Lineage: Eukaryota; Fungi; Basidiomycota; Agaricomycetes; Agaricales; Bolbitiaceae.
UACCACUUUUAGCAACCGAACUUUUGGCUCCUGGAUYGGUUAAGAACGGAACCAAAUGGGAUUAGUAAUGGGAAAUGGAGAAUUUAAUGGAUCAUCGRAUCUUUGAACGCCCCCUGGGCUUCCUGGUAUUUCGAGGAGCCAGCCCGUUUGAAGGGCAUUAAAUUUUCCA